Non-coding RNA from Sardina pilchardus (European sardine), 369 nucleotides. NCBI's taxonomy places the organism in Eukaryota, Metazoa, Chordata, Actinopteri, Clupeiformes, Clupeidae. The record is from the annotation of a RefSeq genome assembly.
CUCCUGUUAGACAUGACAUUUAUAGUUGUAUCAACCCUCCUGGCUGUCUGCCUAACAGGUGGACAUGGUCAGACACUGACUGAAUCUGAGCCAGUGGUCAUCAGUCCUGGAGGAUCUCACAAACUGACCUGCACAGCCUCUGGGUACACAUUCAGUGACUACUAUGCAGCUUGGAUCAGGCAGGCUUCCGGGAAAGGGUUGGAAUGGAUUGGAAGCAUGUACGACUCCUCCAGUAUCUACCGCUCUCAGGUUUUUCAGGGAAGGUUCACUAUCUCUAGAGACAACAGCAAAAGCCAGCUGUAUCUGCAGAUGAACAGUCUGAAGACUGAGGACACGGCUGUGUAUUACUGUGCCAGAGACGCACAGUGA